CCCCCAGUAGUGGCGAAUGAAGCGGGAAAAGCUCAAGUUUGAAAUCCGGCGGGCAACCUCCGGAGUUGUAAGCUGAUGAGGUAUCGACCGACAUGGUCCGGGCCCAAUUUCCUUGGAACAGGAGGUCAUGGAGGGUGAGAACCCCGUCCGUGGCUCGGGUGCCAUUGUCCCUGUGUCGUGCCCUCUAAGAGUCGGGUUGUUUGGGAAUGCAGCUCAAAAUGGGUGGUAAAUUUCAUCUAAAGCUAAAUAUUGGCGAGAGACCGAUAGCAAACAAGUAGAGUGAUCGAAAGAUGAAAAGUACUUUGAAAAGAGAGUGAAACAGUACGUGAAAUUGUUGAAAGGGAAGCGUUUGGCAUCAGCCCUUGGCGUCCGUCGAACAUCCAGGCUUCUGUCUGGUGCACUCGUCGGCCGUCGGGCCAGCGUCGGCUCUGCCCGUCGGAGAAAGGCCUGAGGGAUGUGGCUCACCUUCGGGGGAGCGUUAUAACCUCGGGUGUCAUGCGAUGUGGUGGGGCCGAGGUCCGCGGACUUUGUCCUAGGACGCUGGCGUAAUGGUUCCAAGCGACCCGUCUUGAAACACGGACCAAGGAGUCUAACAUCUAUGCGAGUGUUUGGGUGUCAAGCCCGUCCGCGCAAUGAAAGUGAAUGCAGGCGGGAGCUGUAAAAGGUGCACCGCCGACCGGUCCGGGGGUUUACC
RNAcentral lists this ribosomal RNA (694 nucleotides) under uncultured Archaeorhizomycetes. Its description in RNAcentral is "eukaryotic LSU rRNA". It matches the Rfam family "Eukaryotic large subunit ribosomal RNA", at positions 77 to 782 of the family's 3401-position model. Lineage: Eukaryota; Fungi; Ascomycota; Archaeorhizomycetes. The record is from RNAcentral.